Long non-coding RNA from Columba livia (rock pigeon), 524 nucleotides. RefSeq lists it as uncharacterized. The record is from RefSeq and is a predicted model, not a curated record. Lineage: Eukaryota; Metazoa; Chordata; Aves; Columbiformes; Columbidae. The transcript has 3 exons.
GGGGCCUCAGCCGUGGUCCUUCAGCGGCGCGCUGCUCGGCCUCCUGCGCCGCCCCACAAGGGACUCGUAGCUGGCGAGAGUCAGGGCGGUUGUCAGACGCCUCUCAUGUUACCUCACGGAUGCCUCACUGCUGUAGGAAACCGCCGGCCCUCAGCCGGAAGCAAAGCCACGCGUGAACCCCUGAAGACCUGAGGGGUGUUUGAUAGGCACAAGCGUUCAGGCUGGUAUCUGUAUUCUCUAUUCAAGAUAAUCCACGCUGUUGGGAAGAAGAGCAGUAGUAAUGGAAAUCGCAGUGAAAAAACCUUUCUGAACCCCAGUUCCACCUGAGAAGGAUGCUCAGCAAAUCAAUGAGAUGCACCAAAACCUGCAGCGCCUGUAGCCAGCAUCAGUCACCAGAAAGGGCCCAGUUCUUCUCCACGACAACGCCUGACUGCACAUGGCACAACCAGCGCAUCAGAAGUGGAAUGAAUCAGGCUACCAAGUUUUGCCUCCAUAUUCAGCUGACCUCUCACCAGCCGCUUGCC